CCUGAGGGGCUUAAACUCUGCUCACCAUACACACACUCCCAUCCCAUUUGAUUUUCCCAUGGUAGCAAACAUUGCCAGUCUCAAAGGAUAUGCAGAUGAUACAACAAAAGACGAAACUGACAUGUUUUCUGGUAGGCAGCAUCAAACCAGAUACCAGAACUUUAUCUGAAGCUGCUCAAGCUAGAGCAGGAGACAGAACUGCUCAGGAACAUUAACAGAACCCUGAGAGAGCAGAACGUGCUUCUCAAAGCAUCACUUGCAAAAAUUGCUUCUGGUCAAGCCCCGAAGCCUUCCAACACUCUGAAGAUCGGCGGGAUGACUGUGCAACUGCCAUCCGCCGGGGAGAUGAGCCAAAUGUGCACACAGCAAGCCGGCUCUGACCGAGAGCUUGCCAAGGCUCUGAAGGUGUUCUACCAAAGCAUGAACACGGCAAGAGGGCAGCUUUUCAGACUCAGACGGCACCAACCUCCGGUAAGGAACUGGAAUCCUGGGAGCACACAGAAUUUCUUUCCAUCCAAUUUAGACAUUUGAUGUAACUAUUUCCUGAGCUUGGAGACGUAUAUGCUGAAGCGGAAGAGCAAGGCGAGGAGGCCCUGCUUGACCUGCUCUGUGAGCGCGAAUCUGCUGCCCUCUCAGGCCGUCGUCCGUCUCUGCUCUGACCUUUUUAUUUGAGUGCACAUCCGGCUGGCUCCGCGCUACCACGGUCACUGCACGACUGAUACCCACUCACUUUACAAUGCAAUAUACAGACUACCCUGUUUGGUUUAUCAUUAUAAAACCCAAUGUAAU
This 789-nucleotide long non-coding RNA is filed under the name Pan troglodytes (chimpanzee). RNAcentral's name for it is "long non-coding RNA NONPTRT001521". The record is from RNAcentral. Lineage: Eukaryota; Metazoa; Chordata; Mammalia; Primates; Hominidae.